GUGCUUACUUCUGCAAGACAUAUACUAAAUCUAGAACGACACAGAGAAGAUUAGCAUGGCCCCGCACAAGGGUGACACAUAAAUUCAUGAAACAUUCCAUAUAUUU
This is a small nuclear RNA of Panthera pardus (leopard), 106 nucleotides long. NCBI's taxonomy places the organism in Eukaryota, Metazoa, Chordata, Mammalia, Carnivora, Felidae. The record is from Ensembl.